AUACUUACCGGGUAAGAUAGGCACCAUGGUGACGAAGGUGGUUUUCUCAUGUGAUGAUUAUCCUUUGCACACCAGACAUGUCGAACCCUGUGAUUUCCUCAAGUUCAGGGAACUCAACUGCAUAAUUUGUGAUAGUUGGGGGACUGGGUUUGUGCUCUUCCCUA
This is a small nuclear RNA of Grammomys surdaster, 164 nucleotides long. RefSeq annotates it as U1 spliceosomal RNA. The record is from RefSeq and is a predicted model, not a curated record. Lineage: Eukaryota; Metazoa; Chordata; Mammalia; Rodentia; Muridae. The transcript has a single exon.